This 1633-nucleotide long non-coding RNA is filed under the name Prunus dulcis (almond). RNAcentral's name for it is "sRNA ncRNA". Lineage: Eukaryota; Viridiplantae; Streptophyta; Magnoliopsida; Rosales; Rosaceae. The record is from RNAcentral.
GGGUGGAGUUGCCUUCAAUUCAAUUGAUGGAGAUUUGGAGCAUUUGAAAGCUAGCGACUGCCUGCCAACUACUAUUUUCCACCACAUACCUAAAUUCUAUUGACAUCAUGUAGCAAAAGCUCCUGGUCAUUUUCACCAUUCACCUUCCUAAGAGCCCUUUUAUUUAUUUCAUUUGUCACGUACUUUUUGUUUGUUUGUUAUCAUCAGAAGCGUAACAUGAUAGCAUUCAAGGCCGUGGGAUUUUUCUCACACACACAAUUAUGAUAUUGUGGGAAUUUGAACUUGAGACUUAUCGUGUGUUUGGCAAAAGGAAAAAAAGACGGGAUUUGAAAAAAAAAUCGUGAUUUGACCGAUGGAAAAGGGAAAUCCAUGUGUUUGCCAAAAUCUACUAGGGAUUUGGCAAAUCACUUGAGGGAAAUAUGGAGGGAUUUCCCAAUCCAAAAUCCCAAGUUUAAAUCCUAUCAUAAUUGGUGGAAUUGUGCAAAUCUCAAGAGCGGGGGAAAUUCCAUUUGCUGCGCACCAACAAAGACACCUAUAUCAGUUUUCUAACAAGAGUGGGAGAAGAAGGCCAUCUAUCCAAGUUUCGCUGGUAAGCUUUCAAUCUAGUUGCAAUUUUUAACAUUUUUUUGUUGAUAUUAUUGAUGGGUAUUCAAUUUAAUGAGUUUGAUCAAUCUAUCUCUAUUACUUGUUUUGGUUAUCUGAUUCUUUAUCUAAUGGGUUUGAUUGGGCUCCGUUCGUAUUCACUCUCUCUUUUUGUUUUUUUUUGAAACCAGAAUUCGACCCAAAAAAAUAAAAGUUAAUCAUCUUUUUUUAUCUGAUACAUAGUGGUUUUCAGAUUUUGCCAUCUAUCAUCUUUCAGUCUAAGAUUCUGUUUGCUCCAAUAAAGGUAUAGUCUCUCAACUUAUCCUUGCCUUUUCAAUCUAUGUUGUUCCAAUAAAGGAUAGAUUAUUGUUGUGAAAUUAUUGUUUCUUGUAGUUUGCAUAAUUUCUUGUAGUUUCUGUUAUGGUCUCUUCUUCUGUCUGUUUGACUAAGUUUUGGGUUUAAGAAUUUGUUUUUGUGGUUUGUCAAACUAGUGGAAAAAGGUAUGUAUUAUUGUAAAUUGGAAUUUUAUUGCAUAAGACAAAAUAGUUAGCCAAUGGCGUAGAACACAUUUUUCAUUCUCAUAUUAUCUUUAUUAAUUAUUUUUAUUUAUUACAAGUACCUUAAAUAGUAGUUGGAAUGAUUGGAUUCAUUUGUUUUGAUUUACUGUUACACUUGUUUUUUGAGUAAUAUAGAUGAUUUUAUCUUGAUUACUAUUUUGAGUAAUAACAGUAGUCGAUUAUGAAUUUUUUAUUUAUUUAAGGGAUUUAAAUGUUACCAGCUUUACAAUUGCGUGCUUUAGGUUAAUCCAACUUUGGCUGAAGAGUAAAAUGCAGGCGUCUUUUCUUCAACUCGUAAAAGCUGCCAAGUUCAAAGAAUGAAGGGGAUUCUUUAUCUUGUUUUACUCGUUCUUAUGUUGUAUUGACUUUCGAAGGGGAGACAUAGACGGUUUUAUUCUCUACAAUUUUAAUUUUAAAAUUCCUUCUAUGAUUAUCCAAACGGGGAAAUUGUAAUUUCUGUCAUUUCCUAAAUUCUAUACACAAGAUAUCCAAAC